AGGAUGAACGCUAGCGGCAGGCUUAACACAUGCAAGUCGAGGGCGAUCGGGAGUAGCAAUACUGCCGGCGACCGGCGCAAGGGUGCGUAACGCGUGAGCAACAUAGCCCGUAUCAGGGGGAUAAUCCAUGGAAACGUGGUCUAAUACCCCAUAGUAAUUAUGUAAGGCAUCUUAUAUAAUUUAAAGCUUUGGUGGAUACGGAUUGGCUCGCGUGACAUUAGCUAGAUGGUAAGGUAACGGCUUACCAUGGCUACGAUGUCUAGGGGUUCUGAGAGGAAGGUCCCCCACACUGGAACUGAGACACGGUCCAGACUCCUACGGGAGGCAGCAGUGAGGAAUAUUGGACAAUGGAUGGAAAUCUGAUCCAGCCAUGCCGCGUGCCAGGAAGACGGCCCUAUGGGUUGUAAACUGCUUUUGUAUGGGAGCAAUAAGGGCUACGCGUAGUCCGAUGAGAGUACCAUACGAAUAAGCACCGGCUAACUCCGUGCCAGCCGCGGC
Molecule: ribosomal RNA, 498 nt
Filed under: uncultured bacterium
Lineage: Bacteria
Description: bacterial SSU rRNA
Rfam family: Bacterial small subunit ribosomal RNA
Source: RNAcentral